AAAAAGUUUACUUUUUUGAGCGGCCAUUUGUUUCUAUGGACACGAGCAGCAUCUAGGGACCUGUAACUGUCCAAAGAUUAACCCCACAACUGAAGUGCUGGUGUUAAUACAAUCACUGCAACUUCGGGUGCUGCCCUCCUGAAGCAGCACGCCUAGAGGAGACCUGCUAACAUCCCCAACAUGGGACACCUGCAGUGACGGAGCCAGGUAGCAGCAAGGUGCAGGGAACCUCGGGGGCCAUUGCUGGGGCAAGAUGCAGAGAAUCCGGUUAGCCAUAGAAAAGACGCAUUAAGUCCUGCAGCCGAGGGAGACUUCACUUCACUUCACUUCACUUCAGGCUCUUGGACUCGGAGAGGGGAUUUUUCAGAAGGGCUCACGCCACCCACCGGAGGGGGAGGCGCAGGUUUUCCGGGGGACUCCCCUCCCCUUUCGGUACCCAACUAUGGGGCCAGAUUCUGAAAAUCUGAAGGCGAAACUCAGUGUGCCUGGCCAUUCUUGGGCACUGAAGGUACCGUGGCACUGUUUGUGGGCCAUCUACUUUGCAGUGAUCGGACUCUUCAGCUGCUGUUCUCAAAUCCUUUUGCUGAGGUAGGUUGCUAUCACUGUGUCCAUUUACAGCAAGUUGCUGAAGGUUGUGUGGCAAGUCAGUGGCACAGCUCUGAAGAGAGCUGUGUCCUCUUCAGGUCUACGCCCAACCAGCAAGAGUCAGGAUGCUAACUUUAAUGUCCUGGCCAAACUCCACUUGGAUAACUAAAUUCUACCUCCUAAAAUGUCUGUGCUUGUAUUUGGGUGCAGUAUCCCUCACUUGCUGUCUUAAAUUACUGUGGUACAUUACUGUCUAACAUUAAAUAGCUGCUACGUAACUCCUUAGAAGUGGCUGCAUUUCAAGACUCAGUGACUUGAUAGCUGUUUAUACACUGUGUAAAUUACUUUGGGAUCCUUUGUGCAUAAAGAUGAUGAAUGUGGUUAUUAUAGGUAGUCUAUUGCUUUAAUUUAGUGGUGUGCAAUUAAGUUCCGGCAGCUAUUAAAUGAUUGGCAGUGGCCCACUGACAUUAUGGGUGGAUAACAUGACACAAAAGUUAAACCCAAUCCCCUGUGGAUAGCUGUGAUUUUUCAGUAUGCCAACAAUCCCAUGUUCAGAUAAUGAAGACAUCCGCUAUUCUGGAAAGAAAGAGGUUAAUAGGGAAAAAAUAGUGAUGUAUACAGAGCCGAAAACUUUAACGUAUUGAAUGCAUUACUCAGGGGUAACCAGCCCAGUGUUCUGAUUCUCUCUCACUCUUAAUUCAUUUCUCUCAUAACAUGAUUGUUUAACUUACCACCAGUGCUUGAAAGCUUUUGGGUUUUUUUAUGAAGUAUACUGUAAAUUACACCACAUUGCUUGACACUUGAAAGGUCAAAGAUACUUGUAUUUUAUUAGAAUGUGCAUACUAGGGGUAAACCCUUAACUUUUUUUUUUUUGCUUGACUAUAGAGAGAAUUUAUAAUGGCAUGUGUCAGAUUGCUCUGGGCACCAACCAAAUGGAAGAACAUUCUUAAUC
Molecule: long non-coding RNA, 1537 nt
Filed under: Chrysemys picta bellii (western painted turtle)
Lineage: Eukaryota; Metazoa; Chordata; Testudines; Emydidae
Description: lncRNA (ENSCPBG00000020911.1)
Source: RNAcentral